This 459-nucleotide ribosomal RNA is filed under the name uncultured bacterium. RNAcentral's name for it is "partial 16S ribosomal RNA". It matches the Rfam family "Bacterial small subunit ribosomal RNA", at positions 338 to 795 of the family's 1533-position model. The record is from RNAcentral.
CCUACGGGAGGCUGCAGUGAGGAAUAUUGGUCAAUGGCCGCAGGGCUGAACCAGCCAAGUCGCGUGAGGGAUGACGGUCCUAUGGAUUGUAAACCUCUUUUGUCAGGGAGCAAAGGGCGCCACGUGUGGCGCUUUGCGAGUACCUGACGAAAAAGCAUCGGCUAACUCCGUGCCAGCAGCCGCGGUAAUACGGAGGAUGCGAGCGUUAUCCGGAUUUAUUGGGUUUAAAGGGUGCGCAGGCGGAAUGUCAAGUCAGUGGUAAAAUUUCGGGGCUCAACCCCGUCGUGCCGUUGAAACUGGCGUUCUUGAGUGAGCGAGAAGUAUGCGGAAUGCGUGGUGUAGCGGUGAAAUGCAUAGAUAUCACGCAGAACUCCGAUUGCGAAGGCAGCAUACCGGCGCUCAACUGACGCUCAUGCACGAAAGCGUGGGUAUCGAACAGGAUUAGAUACCCUGGUAGUC